Molecule: ribosomal RNA, 403 nt
Filed under: bacterium
Lineage: Bacteria
Description: partial 16S ribosomal RNA
Rfam family: Bacterial small subunit ribosomal RNA
Source: RNAcentral
UGGGGAAUAUUGCACAAUGGGGGAAACCCCGAUGCAGUGACGCCGCGUGAACGAAGAAGGUAUUCGUAUCGUAAAGUUCUGUCCUAUGGGAAGAUAAUGACAGUACCAUAGAAGAAAGCUCCGGCUAAAUACGUGCCAGCAGCCGCGGUAAUACGUAUGGAGCGAGCGUUGUCCGGAAUUAUUGGGCGUAAAGGGUACGCAGGCGGUUUAAUAAGUCGAAUGUUAAAGAUCGGGGCUCAACCCCGUAAAGCAUUGGAAACUGAUAAACUGGAGGAGUGGAGAGGAAAGGGGAAGUCCUAGUGUAGUGGUGAAAUACGUAGAUAUUAGGAGGAAUACCAGAAGCGAAGGCGACUUUCUGGACACAAACUGACGCUGCGGUACGAAAGCGGGGGGAGCAAACAGG